RNAcentral lists this ribosomal RNA (19 nucleotides) under Claviceps paspali (paspalum staggers ergot). RNAcentral's name for it is "partial 18S ribosomal RNA". The record is from RNAcentral. Lineage: Eukaryota; Fungi; Ascomycota; Sordariomycetes; Hypocreales; Clavicipitaceae.
ACAGCGGAGGGAUCAUUAC